AGUGAACGCUGGCGGUAGGCCUAACACAUGCAAGUCGAACGGCAGCACAGUAAGAGCUUGCUCUUACGGGUGGCGAGUGGCGGACGGGUGAGGAAUACAUCGGAAUCUACUUUUUCGUGGGGGAUAACGUAGGGAAACUUACGCUAAUACCGCAUACGACCUACGGGUGAAAGCAGGGGAUCUUCGGACCUUGCGCGAUUGAAUGAGCCGAUGUCGGAUUAGCUAGUUGGCGGGGUAAAGGCCCACCAAGGCGACGAUCCGUAGCUGGUCUGAGAGGAUGAUCAGCCACAGUGGAACUGAGACACGGUCCAGACUCCUACGGGAGGCAGCAGUAGGGAAUAUUGGACAAUGGGCGCAAGCCUGAUCCAGCCAUACCGCGUGGGUGAAGAAGGCCUUCGGGUUGUAAAGCCCUUUUGUUGGGAAAGAAAAGCAGCAGGUUAAUACCCCGCUGUUCUGACGGUACCCAAAGAAUAAGCACCGGCUAACUUCGUG
This 492-nucleotide ribosomal RNA is filed under the name uncultured bacterium. RNAcentral's name for it is "partial 16S ribosomal RNA". It matches the Rfam family "Bacterial small subunit ribosomal RNA", at positions 29 to 507 of the family's 1533-position model. The record is from RNAcentral.